GCUGGGAAUGGUGGCGCAUGCCUGUAAUCCCAGCUACACAGGAGGCUGAGGUAGGAGGAUCACUUGAGCCCAGGAGGUCAAGGUUGCAGUGAGCCAUGAUCACACCACUGCACUCCAGCCUGGGCAACAGAGUGAGACCCUGUCUCAA
RNAcentral lists this signal recognition particle RNA (148 nucleotides) under Chlorocebus sabaeus (green monkey). Its description in RNAcentral is "Metazoan signal recognition particle RNA". It matches the Rfam family "Metazoan signal recognition particle RNA". From Rfam's summary of the family: The signal recognition particle (SRP) is a universally conserved ribonucleoprotein. Lineage: Eukaryota; Metazoa; Chordata; Mammalia; Primates; Cercopithecidae. The record is from Rfam by way of RNAcentral.